ACACACACACAGAGUAUUCCUGUUAUGCACUGGUAACUUUAUAAAGGCUACAUAGGCGUCUGAUAGUACUUAGCUGUGAGUGUAUGUUUGCGUGUCACUUGAGGGAAGCAGGGUGUGCUGUAUCCUGACAACAGUUCUGGAGCACUGAAUGUGAAGACCCCUGGUGAUGAAGCAUUGCCAUGGCUGCUGCCACUGCUGCUGCCGUGGCAGUGAAUUAUUCGCGUCUCAAGCUACUGUGCAUCUUGGAGGGUCCAGGAGCAGCCGUGCUCUUUCACGCCCUGACACGCGGCACAAACAAGACCGCCGCCGUCACCCUCUUGGACUACCUGACCAGCCUCCGAAACACCUCGAAGGCCAACUAUUGCACACUCAGCAACAAGGAUAAGAGGAAGGCAUUUAACCGUGAUGAGGAAAAGCAGAUUGCCAAUGACCCCUCAUGCCAGAGCUUUGAUAUCACACUGCUCCACAAGAGCAUCAGACUGGCCUGUGAAAAUGUUGCAGGACUAAGUGAUGUACGCUGGCAGGAUGAUACAGUGAUGGAGGGCCUGCUCACUAAGAUAAAAGAUGAGCGUAACAAGGUCGUGCACGAAAGACCUAAGAUGACAGAUAAACAGUUCCUGGACAAAGCUGAGGAACUCAAGAACCUCUUCAUCAGAGCCCUUCAGGCAGUCAAGGACAAGUACGGAGUCUCUGACGCCGAGACCACAAACAUCACUGACAUCAUAACAAGCCAGAUACAAGAAAUAUGUCAGGCCUUUGAUGACAAUGUCAUCUUACAGAUGAGUUUUGAGAAAAAGCUCCAUUUGUUUAAGCAAGAGUCAGUAAGUCACCUGAGAGAAAUUUACAAACAGUAUGAAUAUUUUGACCCAGUGUCCUUCCUCAGUGAAUCCUCAAAACGGGUUCACAUCCAGACUGUAUUUUCAAAACUUGUCCUUAAACAGCAGCCCAAAUCACUUGACAUAGACUUGUUAGAUAUCUUAAAAUACCUAACAGCAGAGUCUCAGAGCUCGCAGCCCUCGCAGCUGCAGCCCUCGCAGCUGCAGCCCUCGCAGGUGCAGCCCUCGCAGCUGCAGCCCUCACAGCCUGUCCAGGACAAAAGGCCACGCCUUGCUGUGGUGAGCGGUGUCGCUGGGAGUGGCAAGACCACCCUGCUCACUUUCAUCUUGUCAGAGUGGCUCAAGGAAGAGAGUGACCGCCGCGUCACACACCUGGAGGAGUACGACAUUGUACUCAGAAUGCUGUGCCGCGACACAGAUGCUGAAGAUCUGGAGACAUUCCUGGGCCUGGUCCUCCCGCCUAGUCUGUCUAGUCUGCCGGUCUUUAACGCGUCCCUCGUGAACUAUUUAAAGCACUGUAAAGUGCUCUUCCUCAUCGAUGGUCUGGAUGAGCAGAACAGCACCUCCAAAAAGCUCAUCACUAAGAUUGUAAAUACAACCAAAUAUAACAAAAAUUUCUCAAUUCUCACCACCUCACGACCAGAGCGAGUGAACCAGUUCUUGGCCCUCACACAAGAAGACUAUAACCAAUUGCAGAUAUCUAUCAAAGGGAUUCCUGUCCAUAGGAGGAUGCAGUUUGCAGAGCAGUACUGCACCUCCACAAACAAGGAUAGGGUGAAGGAGUUCAUGAGAGAACAAGGCAAUAAGACCUUGUUUGAGCUUCCCCUCAACAUAAUAUUCCUGGUUACAUUAUUUGAAGAGAAUCCAAAUUUUAUUACAAAAAACAUUACCCCAUCCAUCUUGUACACCAAAAUCCAUGAGUGGUGCAUAGAGAAGCUGCGUGUCAGAAUAUCCAAGGACCCCACAUGGGGGGAGAAGAGGCCACAGACCCUCAAGAUGAGGAUAAAAAGAGUGGUGAAAGAGAUGUACCAAGUGGCACUACAAAGCUUGCUGCAGGACAGAGUGAACCUCUCAGAUGAGGACACAGAGCGGCUGACAGAUUGCUGUGAGAGAGAGGACCUGCCACCCCAACAAGUCCUGGGAGCAUUUUUCACUCUGCAGUUGUCCAUCACCAAGAGAAUAUGUGAAGAAAGAUACUCCAUGCACCAUAAAGGAAUGCUGGAGUACUUUGCAGCUCGACAUAUCAUGCAGCACCUCCAGGAUGGAUCCCUCCCAGGACCAGGGGCUAUUAGGAGCCUGCUUGAGACCACCUUUCACAGUGAAUCCCUCCCAGAACAAGGUGUUUUUAGAAGGCUGCUUCAGGGUGUCUUUCAGCUAAUACCUCAGUAUCAGUUUCAUUCUUCAGGUCUCCUUGCUACUGAGAGGAUAUCUCGAGUCGUCACUCAGCCACGGGCACGGCCUCUAGAUCCUCGGGGUCUGCAAAACCUUUUCUGGCACGUAGCAGGCCUCUUGACCACAGAAGAAACAAACCAUCCCGAGAACAUAAAAGAGGUGAUAGAUCUACUGGCAGAGACUGGCGCAGGGUGGGAUGAAUGGCUGUCACUGGUGGAAGACAUAGAUAAUGAAAGCUUCCUGCAGGCCAUCGCUCACCAUGUCACAAAAAAUCCUCCUGAUGGCACAGUACAGAUAAAUGACAAUACACUGACCAGUGCUGCAGCUCUGCUCCCCAACACUCCCACAACAACAGUGGAAUUGUGGCUGGAGAAUGAAAAAGUGAAUGUGGAGAAUGUUCGUGCCUUGAUUGAUCAUCACUGCCGUGAGUUGUGCCUAUGGCACCAUUACUGGCACCCCGGCAACAUAACUGCCUCAGACACUGUGCUGCGUGCCAUACACAGGGAUUGCCUUGAGAGGUUCAUGGGUCACCUGAGUGCUGAUUGCAUGGCACUGAUCCCUGAAUGCCUUAGGGAGCUACGCCUGGCUGUAUCUAGCGAUGAGCACGCUGCCAGCCUCCCAGCAGCCCUCACCCGAGCUGCCUCAUCUCUGCCUAACCUGCAGUGGCUUUUCAUACACGUCCCUGUGGCGAUGGUAACACCAGCGGCGGUUCCGUCACCACUGCCUGACAUCACACGUGUUGACCUGAUCUUGUCUGGCGUGAACAAAAGCCUGUUGAAGGAAGCAUGUCAAGUGGCAGCAGCUCUCCAGCCUACGGCAGGAUAUGGUGGCAUUGGAUUCCCCCAGGGCAGGAUGAAGGCAGCAGAGUGGCGGGACCUGCUUUACCUCCUGGCGGCAGAAAUGGUCAGGGUGGGGAGGAGGGGAGCUGUUGUGAUACCAGAGGAAACCAUCACAUGGGAGGAGGGGAGGGAGCUGGAGGACCUCACUGGCACUUUGUGGGGGUGUAGGGUGUUAAGGCGCACUGAUGAGGAGUGUUUCCACGGAUAUUACUUUGUACCAAAUUCUUAGGCUGAUUAGUCAGAUGAAGAUGAUGAAGAACAUGAAGACGACGAUGAUGAAGACAAUGGUGAAGAUGAGGAGGGGAAGGAGAAAGAAUAAAAGAAAAGAAAAAAAAAAUAAUAAUAAAAAAAACAUCACUAAUAUUGAGAGCUGUGUAAAUGAUACAAUAUUAUAAGUGUUGGCAGAUUCAUUUCCUUUAGCCUGUGUAGCCGCACCAGCUGGGCAUCAAUUGGCUCUCAGGUGAUCUGUUUUACUGAUCACACCCAUCAUCGUAGGGUCGAGGAAAGGCAGUUCUCCCUGACACGUUUAUUGAUGAGGUAGGCAUGACCGUAAGAACUGCGAACAAGUUUUCGGUCUCAAUUUCUUACAAAAUAGCAUUAUACACAGAUAUUAAACACUUUCAACAUAUUACAAUAUUCAUUAACAAUACAUGCAAUUAACUUGGCACUAUGACAAUCAGUUUUAACUACAAAAUUAAAGUAUUUACCUCGGUCACCAUCCUGCCCGUCUUUGUCUGAGCGCGACUUGGCCGUGAGUGAUGCCCGCAGGCGACUAGCAGGUUAACCCCACACUACUAACAAGUGAGCAUUGGUUUUGGUGCUUAAUAUAGCAUUAAAUACUGAUACUUACACAUAUUACACGUUUUCAUGCAAAUAGAAAACUAUUGAACAUUUCACUUAUAAAUGCCGAGGAAUAAUGAUGUGAGGUACAUACGCUUUACAUACAGUAACAUGGCUCCCCUAAAUUGUGUAACAAUUUACCUUAAAUUAAGAUUAGUAUGUACCUUAAAGCUAGGAUUAGCACAUAUGUUUUGUUACACUGGCUCCUUGGCGGGGAUGCUCUGGUCUAUUAUUAUGCAUUACCUUCUAACAGCAAUACUAGAUUAUGUAUUGGCCCCUCUAUGAUGGUCCUGUUUGUCCUUGUGCGUCUUCCCUGGUUGUCGAGAUUACAGUCUGAAACCAGGACCUUAACCUUUCUUACUAGGCCAUCAUGAUCAGGAGAUACUUUAUCCAUUUAGGUUUGACAUAAUCUGGCACCUCAUUAUCCCAUUCAACUGCAUUCUUACAUAAUUCUUGUAAAAUUUGCUUUCCAGUCAGUAUGAGAGGUGACACUAGACCUAAUGGAUCAUAUAUAGAGCUCACUGUUGACAGAAUGCCUCUCCUGGUGAGUGGCUUGUCUUUCAGCUUUAUUCUAAAUUGAAAUGUGUCAGAUUCUAUGCACCACUCAACUCCCAAAGUUCCUUCUAGAGGCAGUGUGUCUUCAUUCUUACUAAAAUCCAAUCUUUUAAUUCCAUCUGCUCUCUCAUGAGGAGAAAUUGCAGCUAAUACAUCUUUGUUGUUUGACAAGAACUUAUGAAGGUUAAAACCUCCCUUGUAACAUAAUUCUUUGCUCUGCUGAAUAAGAGUGACAGCUUCAUCCAUUGUAGCUACUGACUUCAAACCAUCAUCAACAUAAAAGUUGUUUCUUACAAACUUGGCUGCAUCAGAUCCACACCCGUAGUCAUCUGCAGCUUUCUUAAGAGCAAAGUUGGCUACACUUGGAGAUGAAGUAGCUCCAAACAGGUGAGCUGUCAUCCUGUAUUCAGCUAUCUCAUUAUUAAGGUCACCAUUUUCCCACCAAAGGAAUCUUAACAUGUCUCUGUGUUCUGGGUUGACCUUCACUUGAUGGUACAUUGCUUCUAUAUCACAUACAAGUGCAAUGCUUUCUUGCCUAAACCUACACAAUACUCCAAUAAGUUUGUUGGUAAGGUCUGGGCCUUGUAACAGGUGACUGUUUAAUGACUGGUUCCUGUAGUUUGCACUACAGUCAAAGACAACUCUCAACUUCUUUGGCUUUCUCGGAUGAUAGACUCCAUGAUGUGGAAUGUACCAGACCUUACCAUCAUUCCUAACUAAAUCCUUUGUCGGUACAACCUCUGCAUAACCUUUUGUAAUCAUAUCAUCCAUGAACAAUUUGUAAUCAUCUUUGUGUUGAUUAUCCUUCUCAAGUUUAGCUCUUAACUUCUUGAGUCUCUGCUCUGCUAAUAGUUUGUUGUUUGGAAGCUUGACGUUAUCAUCUUUAAGAGGAAGGGGCAACUCAUAAUGGCCAUCCUUCAGCUGAUGUACUCCUUCUUUCAUCUUACUCGUAAACCUUUUAUCUUCAUAUGAUAAUGGAGUGUCAGCUGACUUUCUAUCACUGAAGUCAAGUUUAAACAUAUCUCUCACUUGAGAAGGAUUAAUCAUCUCUUUGGUUUUAGUAGGAACCACUAAGAAAUUAACCCUUUUCUUCAUUGAUUUCUACUUCUUGUGUCACUUCUGUAGACUACCACUGUAUCCUCCAAUGGACUUGAAUGGGGUGAGAUUCUACCUGAGGUUCACUAAAUAUUUGUCCAUCUACUUCAUUUGUCAACAAUUCAUUAUCUCUAUUGCAAGAAGGAGGUUCCUGUGGAUCAUGGAAUGUAACAUAUUUGAGGCAUGGCAUUGUCACUUUGAUGAUUUGCAAUUGCUUGUGCUUUCAUUUCAUUUUGUGACUCUAUGUAUUGUUGAAGAUAACUUUGCUUCUCUACACUUUCAUCAUUACCUGGAAGCAUUUUUACUUCUUCUUCAACUAAGCUAAGAGCAUUAAGUUCUGCACUAGCAACUGCUAAAUCUCUCUCUUUCUUUUUCUUUGAGAACAUUGCUUCUGCCUCUGCUUUUGUCUUAGCUAACAUAACUUCUGCCUCUGCUAAACUAUCAUGAUAUUCCAUUUCCUUUCUAAGUCUGGCUACCUUUGCUGCUGCUUCUUGCUUUCUUUGUGCUGCUGAUGAAUGUGAUGAAGUAGAUGAGACUCUAGAAUGCCUAGACCGUUUGCUAGAACAAAUUGAUCCUCUGUCAUUCUUUAACUCCUUUCUUUUACAUUCUAUACUUUCUAAUAUUUCAUGGUGAACUCGUUGAUUGUGUUCCAGCUCUUCAUUUAGCUCCUCUGACUUUUAUGGCUCUAGUUCCACCAGUUUUGUGUAUUCCACUUAAUACUGAUGAAAUGCCUCUAUUACUUCACUUGACAUGGGCUCUAAUUCAAAGGGGCUAAUUACAAUUUUUAAUCCUUUCUUAAUUUUGCUGGUAACACUGCUCCAUUUACGCUUACAGGACUCUGCUCUUCCUUUGGUUACUGACUUGAUAUUCUCUUCCUUUGUCGGUCGGCACUCGCUCCCUGACACUAACUUCUUCAAUACAAGUUUGAUCCCUGUCCACUUGCUCACCCUCACCUUCCCUAAGGCCAUCUACGGCAUUAAUUUCCUCAGUAUCAGACAUAUCUAACAACUUAAUUGUGUCAAUACUGAGACACUGAAAGAGCAAUUAAAUUACCACUCUUAAUACUAGCUAAUUGUGGGUAAUUUUCACUUAGGCUACUCAAUUCAGUGCACAUACAUACUAUUAUAUUUUCUUGCCUGUGACCAUGGGUUCUACAAAAUGGUGGUGAGGCACACUGGGUAGAAGGGAGUGGUUGUCGUCAAGGGUAGAGCUGACCCCGGGGCCUCAGAGGUCAACCUAUAGGCUUACGUCAGCGUCCCCUCGUCCUGUGACUCACUCUUGCUACGGUUUCACAUGGAGCCAAUUUCUUGCUUGUAGGUCGAGUUCUUACUGUAGCUGCACCGGCUGGGCAUCAAUUGGCUCUCAGGUGAUCUGUUUUACUGAUCACACCCAUCAUCGUAGGGUCGAGGAAAGGCAGUUCUCCCUGACAUGUUUAUUGAUGAGGUAGGCAUGACCAUAAGAACUGCGAACAAGUUCUCGGUCUUAAUUUCUUACAAAAUAACAUUAUACACGGAUAUUAAACACUUUCAACAUAUUACAAUAUUCAUUAACAAUACAUGCAAUUAACUUGGCACUAUGACAAUCAGUUUUAACUACAAAAUUAAAGUAUUUAUCUCGGUCACCAUCGUGCCUGUCUUUGUCUGAGCGCGACUUGGCCGUGAGUGAUGCCUGCAGGCGACUAGCAGGUUAACCCCACACUACCAACAAGUGAGCAUCGGCUUUGGUGCUUAAUAUAGCAUUAAAUACUGAUACUUAUACAUAUUACACGUUUUCAUGCAAAUAGAAAACUAUUGAACAUUUCACUUAUAAAUGCCGAGGAAUAAUGACGUGAGGUACAUACGCUUUACAUACAGUAACAGCCUGUCUUCACAUGUCAAUUCUUCCAGUACAGGAACCACCUUCGUUGCCAUCCUGUGUGUCCUUUGUAGUUUUCUGACACGUUUGUUGUUGUGGGGAGACCACACUGACUCACCACAUUCCAGCUGUGGUCUAAUAGUGGUGGUAAUUGUCUUUCUCAUCGUCUCUUUAUCCAUGUAGUGGAAUGCUGUUGCAAUAUGUCUCAACAUUCUAUAUGCAUCCCUGAAUGUCUUUUCUACAAGCUUCUCCAACUGCUGACUGUCCUGUACUAUCACUCCCGGAUCUUUCUCUCCUUGUGCUAAAAGUACAUUUCAAAUGUCCAUUUUGGUCUUUUCACUUUUUUCCAUUUCCAUUACAUGACAUUUUUUCACAAUAAAUUCCAUCUCCCACUUCUUAUUCCAGUCUCAGAUUUUAUUCAAGUCCUCUUGUAGAAUUUCACAGUCUUUGUUGUUUCUUAAAUGUCUUUGUAAUUUUGCAUCGUCUGCAAACGUGCUGAUGUAACUCUUUACUCCUUCAGGCGUGUCAUUUAUGUAGAUCAGGAAAAGUAUUGGUGCCACCACUGACCCUUGUGGUACUCCACUACCUACUUUUCUCCAUUUUGUGUUUACACCUGUUACCAUCGUUCUCAUUUCUCUUUCCCUUUAGUAACUUUCCGUCCAGUUUUUUUUACUUCUCCAUUUAAUCCUUCAAUAUUUUCUAGCUUCCAUGAUAGCCUGUUGUGGGGAGCCUUGUCAAAAGCUUUUUCAGAUCUAAAUACACACAGUCUACUCAUCCAUCCCUCUCCUUUGUCAUAUCAGUCACUCUUGAAUAAAAGCUCAUCAGAUUGGUUACACAUGAUCACUUUUGUCUAAAGCCAUACAGUUUUUCUGUUAUAUAUCAUGUUUUUUCUAGGAAAUCUGUCCACUGCUUCUUGAUCACUUUUUCACAGGUCUUACACAGCAUGCUGGUCAUUGACACUGGUCUGUAGUGUAGUGCUUCUUCUUUCUUUCUACUUUAUACACUGGCACUAUGUCUGCUCUCUUCCAUUCCUUAGGCACUCUUCCAGUUGAUAAUGAGCACUUCAUUUUGUCAUAUACUGGUUCAAUUAAUUGUUUCUUUUUUAAGAUGAAACCUGGUACUCCAUCUGGUCCUGUUGCUUUUCUCUCUUCCUGUUCCUCCAUCAUUUUAUAAACUUCUUUGAUUACUCUAAUUUCCCACAUUUGCCUUUUUUGUCACCCCGUCUUGUGGUUCUUUAAAUUCCGAUUCUUCUGAGAAAGCUUGCUGCAACUUUUUGUUUACCAAUUCACUCGUGUCUUUUGGGUCUUCAUGUUUCAUUUCCAUCCUUCAAUCUUUCUAGUUUUUCCUUUGGUUUGAUUUUUGCGAUUAUUAAUCAGCAGGACAGUUGUGGUUCGUCCAUGCACUUUUCAACUAUAUCCUUUUCGCAUCCUUUCUUUCCUCUCUCCUUAUUUCCACGUGUUCAUCUCUUGGUAUCCUAAAGUCUUCUUUAUUUUUUUUGGUUUCAAUUUCUUUUAAUCUUUAUCUAUGCUUCAUCUCUUUUUUCUUUGCACUUGCACAUCUUGCACUGAGCCACACCUGGACAUAUUUGUUCACUCCAGCUCAUAUAUUUUCACCAAAAUGUCAAACUUAUCUUGCACAUCAUUUGCUCUUUUCAGCUUUUCCCAGUCCAUUUCUUCAUAAAAUUUCUGGAGGUCAUCUAUGUUAGCUUUUCCAUAGUUUCUCCUGUUUUCUUUGUAUGAUUCAUCCUCUUCACUGACAUCAUAAUUGGUCUCUAUUUGUAUCAUUACAUGGUCACCUUUUCCAUGGGGCACACGUGUCUCAAUGCUUUAGUUAGGUCCAUGCCCCUUGUUAGUAUUGUGUCUAGUCUUGCUGGUUCGUCAUCUUCCCUAUAACUUGUAUUUUCAGUCACCCGUUGCAUCACUGUGUUUUCCGUAGUCAGCUUCAGAAAUCCUUCUCCCCGUGCAGUCUCGUUUCCACCUGCUUCAGACGUUUCCCGGUUCACUUCUUUGCAGUUGAAGUCACCAACCAAUAAUACUAUUUUAUUACUUUUGAUUAAUUUACUCAAACACUAAAUGGUAUCUUCUAUUAUUUUGUCAUAUUCUUCCUUGCUCCAAGAACUUGUUUUGGGUGGUAGACAGGCUGUUAUUACCGUCAGUAUUUCUCCACUAUUACCUUCCAAGUUAACAUUCACUAUUUCUGCUUUUCCUUCCCCAUAUUUCACUAUUUUUGUCUUUGCCUCUUUUCCUGUCAUUAUCAUUACACCUCCCCUCCUUUAUCAAGCCUGUUUCUUCUCCAUAUAUUGUAGUCAUUUGUCACUAUCUGGUUUUCUUCUUUUUGUUUUGUUUCCGCUAAACACACCACCUUCGGAUUCUUUUCUUUUAAAUAGUCUUGUAAUUCCAGUUUUCUGUCUAUCAGUCCAUCUAUGUUGGUAUGCAUCACAAUAAGUCGUUCGUUUUUACCAUUUCUCUCUAUUUUAUCUUCAUUUAUUUCUUUACCUUCAUGUACCAUUUCUUCACUGUUUCCCAAAACUCUCAAAAACAAUGUAGUUUUUUCUUCUUGAGUUCUUGAUUAUUUUUUUUUUCUUUAGCCUCUUCAUACAUUUCUUUCAAACUUUUCUUCCAUUUCAUUUGUGUUCUUCCUAAAAUAUAUAUCCUUGCAAUCUUCUACUUCACUUAGUUUGGAUGUUCUUUCUAGUAUCUGUUCUGCUGCUUGUUGUGAUUUUAGUCUUAUUUUCACAGGUCUUGCUUUGCCUUCAAGAUAAGGCCCCCGUCUAACAACUUCUUCCACUUUCUCAAACUUAGUGUCAACUUCAUCGUUAAGUUUCUUCAGCAGAUCCUUCACUGUUUUUUUAUUCUUCUUUAUCUCUUUUCAAUUUGUGUGUUAUAUUUUUGUCCUUUAUUCCAUAACUAUAACACUUUUCUUCUUAUCUGCUGCACUGCUGCAUCCCUCACCAGAUCUUCAUUGUUUUCAGUGACUUUACCACUUUUUUCUACAUUUUCAUUUUUUUCUUCUAGUUGCUUUUCAAUUAUUUCCUUGAAGUCAACAUUUGCUUUAUCAUUUUCUUAUUUUCCAGUCUUUCACUUCAUCCAAGACACCCUCUCUCACCCUCUUCUUACCUUUCACUAACUCUGCUUUCAAAUCUUUAUUUUUCAUUACUUUCUCCAUGUUGUUUUGUAAUUCCUCAUUUUCUUAAUAUUUUGUUCUCUCACUCUCAUCUCCUCAGAUUCUGUUUUCAGCUUGAAAAUUUCACCAUCUUUUCCUAGACUCUGUUCUAGCUUAUGCUGAAGGGAUUUUACCAUUUCCAUCACUACCAUCUCCUUCUUCUGCUGUUCUGCCUCACUUUCCGCUUUCCUUAACCUCAUUUUCAAAAACCCAAUCUCACUUUCAUUUUGGUCUUUGUCACUAAAACCAUCAAAGUUUAUUUCAUCCCUUGGUGAAAAUGAGUCUGGUAUUUCAUAGGCCAUCUUUGUUUUGAAAAAUGCCCACAUCUUCAUCAGACUCAUCAAGAUAAAAAAAUCUGGUAUUAUGUGUCAAGGUGUGUGUGUGUGUGUGUGUGUGUGUGUGUGUGUGUGUGUGUGUGUGUGUGUGUGUGUGUGUGUGUGUGUGUGUGUGUGUGUGUUUACCUAGUUGUAUAAUACAGGGUUCCAGUAGGGCUCCUAGUGUCCCGUCUCCACAUCUAUAUAGAUUUAUCCAACGUUUCCUUAAAUUUGUGCACAUUAGGUGCUGUAACAACCUCUUCAUUUAGACCAUUCCAGAUAUCCACAGUUCUGUGUGGAAAACUGUACUUCUUGAUGUCCCUCAAACACUGACUCUUCCUGAUCUUCUUUGAGUGCCCUCUCGUCCGUCCAGCUUCAUCUUCUCCCAGCAACACCAGGUCCUGCUUGUCUAUCUUCUCGGUGCAGUUGAGAAGAUAGACAUAUAUAUUUUAUACAUUAUUAUUAGGUCUUCUCUUUCUCUUCUAACUUGCAAAGUUGGCAGUCCCAUUUCCUUCAACCCCUCUUUGUAUGUUAGGUCUUUCAGCUCCAUUACCAUCCUUGCAGCUGCCCUCUGAAUUCUUUCCAACUUCUUUGUCUUUCUUCAUAUGUGGAGACCACACCACUGCUGCACAUUCCAGUCUGGGAUGUAGCAUAAUGGCUAUAAUUUCUUUCAUCACAGUCUUAUCCAUGCAAUGAAAUGCUGCCCUAAUAUUUGUUAACUUCCCGUACGUUGAGCCAAAUGUCUCAUUUAUAUGCCGUUCUGCGGUCAAGGUAUCUUGAAAAACCACUCCUAGGUCUUUUUCCUCUUUGCUCUUCAUUAUCACUUCCUCCCCCAUUUUAUAGUUUUAUAGUCCUAUGCAGGUCUUCUUUUACUCUUUCCCAAUUCCAUCACAUGGCAUUUCUUAGUAUUGAAUUCCAAUUUCCACUUCUUGCCCCACCCAUAAAUCUUGUCAAUAUCUCUUUGCAACUCCAUACAAUCAAUAUGGCUCUUUAUUACUCUUAACAGUUUUGCAUCAUCAGCAAACAGAUUAAUAGGACUGGUCAAACCCUCCUGCAUAUCAUUGAUGUAUAUUUAGAACAUAAUGGGUGCUAACACUGACCCCUGUGGUACUCCACUUGUUACAUUAUUCCAACUUGAGCAGGUGUCCCUGAUCACAGUUCUCAUUUCUCUAUCCUUUAAGUAGUCUCUCAUCCAUUUUAGCAUUGUCCCUCUCAGUCCUCCUUUAUGUUCCAUCUUCCACAAUAGUCUUUUAUGCAGAACUUUAUCAAAAGCCUUCUUGAUGUUCAAGUACACUGCAUUUACCCACCCAUCUCUGUUUUGUACUUCAUCUAUUACUAUUGUAUAGAAACUUAGUAAAUUUGUCACACAUGACCUUCCUUUUCUGAAACCAAACUGACAAUUUGUUAUGACUUUGUUCUCUUCCAAAUAUUUCACCCACUUUUCCUUGAUCACUAUUUCACAGAUCUUGCCCACAACACUAGUUAGCGACACCGGUCUAUAAUUUGGUGGCUCAGUCCUUUUUUCUUCUUUGUGUAUUGGCACUACAUUUGCUCUCUUCCACUCUCUUGGUACUCUUCCCUCUAUCAGUGAGCUGUUAAUCACAUCCCAAAUUGGCUCCACCACUUGUUCUCUACAUUCCUUUAGUGUCCAACCUGACACUCCAUCAGGCCUCAUUGCUUUCCUGACAUCCAACUUCUCUAACAAUUUGCCAAUUUCAUGUUUUUGCACCAAGACUUCCCGCAUCCCGCCCCCCACACCUCGUUUGGUUCAGUAAAUUCCGCUUCCACAAUGAACGCAGACCUGAAACUCUCAUUCAUAAUUUCAGUAAUCUGUUCCAGUGUUUGAUAUAUCCUUCCUUCCUCUACUAUCUUGUCAGUGGUCUCUCUGCUUGUCAUCUUUCCAUUGAUAUAUCUGUAAAAAAGCUUGGGCUCUUCUUCACAUUUCUUUACCCCACACUUUUCAAAUUGUUUCUCCUCUCUUCUUAUUCUAACAUACUCAUUCCUUGCCUCCUUAUACUGCUCUCUAUUAUUUUCAUUACUUUGUUUCUUCUGUUUCUUCCAAGCUAUAUCCUUUCUCUUUUUAGCUUCUGAACAUCUGGCAUCGUACCAAAUGUGUGUGUGUGUGUGUGUGUGUGUGUGUGUGUGUGUGUGUGUGUGUGUGUGUGUGUGUGUGUGUGUGUGUGUGUGUGUGUGUGUGUGUGUGUGUGUGUGUAGU
Scylla paramamosain (green mud crab) is the source of this 13102-nucleotide RNA transcript. RefSeq lists it as uncharacterized. NCBI's taxonomy places the organism in Eukaryota, Metazoa, Arthropoda, Malacostraca, Decapoda, Portunidae. The record is from RefSeq and is a predicted model, not a curated record. The transcript has 7 exons.